Long non-coding RNA from Bos taurus (domestic cattle), 1107 nucleotides. The record is from Ensembl. NCBI's taxonomy places the organism in Eukaryota, Metazoa, Chordata, Mammalia, Artiodactyla, Bovidae.
GGAGUAAGUGUCUUUUAAUUUCAUGGCUGCAGUCACCAUCUGCAGUGAUUUUGGAGCCCAAAAAAAUAAAGUCUGACACUGUUUCCACUGUUUCCCCAUCUAUUUCCCAUGAAGUGAUGGGACCGGAUGCCAUGAUCUUCGUUUUCUGAAUGUUGAGCUUUAAGCCAACUUUUUCACUCUCCACUUUCACUUUCAUCAAGAGGCUUUUUAGUUUCUCUUCACUUUCUGCUGUAAGGGUGGUGUUAUCUGCAUAUCUGAGGUUAUUGAUAUUUCUCCGGGCAAUCUUGAUUCCAGCUUGUGUUUCUUCCAGUCCAGCGUUUCUCAUGAUGUACUCUGCAUAUAAGUUAAAUAAACAGGGUGACAAUAUACAGCCUUGACAUACUCCUUUUCCUAUUUGGAACCAGUCUGUUGUUCCAUGUCCAGUUCUAACUGUUGCUUCCUGACCUGCAUAUAGGUUUCUCAAAGGCAGGUCAGAUGGUCUGGUAUUCCCAUCUCUUUCAGAAUUUUCCACAGUUUAUUGUGAUCCACACAGUCAAAGGCUUUGGCAUAGUCAAUAAAGCAGAAAUAGAUGUUUUUUUGGAACUCUCGCUUUUUCCAUGAUCCAGCGGAUGUUGGAAAUUUGAUCUCUGGUUCCUUUGCCUUUUCUAAACCAGCUUGAAUAUCAGGAAGUUCACGGUUCACAUAUUGCUGAAGCCUGGCUUGGAGAAUUUUGAGCAUUACUUUACUAGCAUGUGAGAUGAGUGCAACUGUGUGGUAGUUUGAGCAUUCUUUGGCAUUGCCUUUCUUUGGGAUUGAAAUGAAAACUGACCUUUUCCAGUCCUGUGGCCACUGCUGAGUUUUCCAAAUUUGCUGGCAUAUUGAGUGCAGCACUUUCACAGCAUCAUCUUUCAGGAUUUGGAAUAGCUCAACUGGAAUUCCAUCACCUCCACUAGCUUUGUUUGUAGUGAUGCUUUCCAACGCCCACUUGACUUCACAUUCCAGGAUGUCUGGCUCUAGGUCAGUGAUCACACCAUCGUGAUUAUCUGGGUCGUGAAGAUCUUUUUUAAUACAGUUCUGUGUAUUCUUGCCACCUCUUCUUAAUAUCUUCUGCUUCUGUUAGGUCCAUAC